CCCGCUGAACUUAAGCAUAUCAAUAAGCGGAGGAAAAGAAACUAACAAGGAUUCCCUUAGUAACGGCGAGUGAAGUGGGAAAAGCUCAAAUUUUAAAUCACCUGGGUUUCCUUGGUGAAUUGUAAUUUGAAGAAAGUGUUUUGACGUUCGGGUUCGAUUUAAAUCCUUUGGGAUAAGGUAUCAUAGAGGGUUAGAAUCCCGUUUAUGAUUGUUCCUUUGAAUGUCUAUAAUUCACUUUCCAAGAGUCGAGUUGUUUGGGAUUGCAGCUCAAAAAGGGUGGUAAAUUUCACCUAAGGCUAAAUAUAUGCAAGAGACCGAUAGCGAACAAGUACCGUGAGGGAAAGAUGAAAAGAACUUUGAAAAGAGAGUUAAAUAGUACGUGAAAUUGUUGAAAGGGAAACGAUUAAAGUCAGUCAUGUUGGUAGGGAAUCAACUUGAUGGUUUGCGGGUUUACUCGUGUUCUUUCGAGUGCACUUCCUUACUUGCUAGUUAGCAUCAAUUUUGGUUAUCAUAUAAAAAUUAAGGGAAGGUGGCUUUUCUUCGGAAAAGUGUUAUAGACCUUGAUUAAUGUGGUGACCGGGAUUGAGGAUUGCAGCGGAUACCCUUUUGGGCUAGUCACCUUGCUUCUGAUGGUUACCCCGUCUUCGAUAGCUUGCUAACGUUGAUGGGAUUUAAUUAUCUAGAUGUUGGAGUGAUCAUAAAUUCGCUAAGGAUGCUGACGUAAUGGCUUUAAACGACCCGUCUUGAAACACGG
This 754-nucleotide ribosomal RNA is filed under the name uncultured fungus. RNAcentral's name for it is "eukaryotic LSU rRNA". It matches the Rfam family "Eukaryotic large subunit ribosomal RNA", at positions 24 to 664 of the family's 3401-position model. Lineage: Eukaryota; Fungi. The record is from RNAcentral.